Molecule: ribosomal RNA, 492 nt
Filed under: uncultured bacterium
Lineage: Bacteria
Description: partial 16S ribosomal RNA
Rfam family: Bacterial small subunit ribosomal RNA
Source: RNAcentral
GGGGGGGGGGGGGGGGGGGGCGAGCGGGUGCGAGUCGAGGGGCAGCGCAGUAAGGGCUGGCUCUUACGUGUGGCGAGUGGCGGACGGGUGGGGAAUACAUCGGAAUCUGCUUUUUCGUGGGGGAUAACGUAGGGACACUUCCGGUAGUACCGCAUCGGACCUACGGGGGAAAGCAGGGGAUCUUAGUGCCUUGCGCGUAUUAAUGAGCCGAUGUCUGAUUGGCUAGUUGGCGGGGUAAAGGCCCACCAAUGCGACGAUCCGUAGCUGGUCUGUGUGGAUGAUCAGCCACACUGGAACUGAGACACGGUUCAGACUCCUACGGGAGGCAGCAGUGGGGAAUAUUGGACAAUGGGCGCAAGCCUGAUCCAGCCAUACCGCGUGGGUGAAGAAGGCCUUCGGGUUGUAAAGCCCUUUUGUUGGGAAAGAAAAGCAGCAGGUUAAUACCCCGCUGUUCUGACGGUACCCAAAGAAUAAGCACCGGCUAACUUCGUG